AACGUAGGACGCGAGCGUUAUCCGGAGUUACUGGGCGUAAAGCGCGGGCAGGCGGUGGUUCAAGUGGGAUGUGAAAGCGCUCGGCUUAACCGGGCGAGGCCAUUCCAAACUGGAUCACUGGAGGGCAGUAGAGGUGGGUAGAAUUCCGGGUGGAGUGGUGAAAUGCGUAGAGAUCCGGAGGAAUACCAGAGGCGAAGGCGGCCCACUGGGCUGCACCUGACGCUGAGCCGCGAAAGCCAGGGGAGCGAACGGG
RNAcentral lists this ribosomal RNA (253 nucleotides) under uncultured bacterium. RNAcentral describes it as "partial 16S ribosomal RNA". It matches the Rfam family "Bacterial small subunit ribosomal RNA", at positions 524 to 776 of the family's 1533-position model. The record is from RNAcentral.